Ipomoea nil (Japanese morning glory) is the source of this 545-nucleotide long non-coding RNA. RefSeq lists it as uncharacterized. The record is from RefSeq and is a predicted model, not a curated record. Lineage: Eukaryota; Viridiplantae; Streptophyta; Magnoliopsida; Solanales; Convolvulaceae. The transcript is spliced from 3 exons.
UAUAAACAACUGUCCAAUUUUCCCGCUCAGAUCAACAUUACAGAAGAACCGAGAAAACUGAAGACAUUCAAAAUUCGGAUAGAGCAUAGCGAUGGCGAUUCCGGCAUGAUCUUGGGAAUACCCUAGGAACACCGCCGCCGCAGAGUUAUAAUCUAUUCACCUGCUACAGCAACUCAACAGGGUUCUGGAAAAGUUGGGAAGUGGAAAAGUAAAUUUUCUGUCUUCACAAAACCGUAAAUCAUAUGCAGACAGAUAACUUAGAAUGGAGGGGGCCUGCAGAGUCCUAGGAAUUUUAACGUCGUCCAGCUGCUAGCUGCUUUAAUUGCCCACGUACUGAGAUGUUGCACUUGCACGUCAGAGAGUAAGCACAGUAAAUGCAUUGUAUCAUGUCUUCAUCAUAUUAUUGCAACCAAUAUCUCCCCUUAACAUCAACUUGUUGUAGAUAGUAAACAAGAAUGGUAUGGUAGGUCAAUCUUUGGACUAAUGGCUGUGAUGGUAACUACAAGUUCAUCAGAUAUUGGUUACGAGUUUCUUUCGUUAUUCAA